AUUAGUAAACAAAAAUUGUG
This 20-nucleotide small nuclear RNA is filed under the name Arabidopsis thaliana (thale cress). RNAcentral's name for it is "snRNA_14233". The record is from RNAcentral. Lineage: Eukaryota; Viridiplantae; Streptophyta; Magnoliopsida; Brassicales; Brassicaceae.